Numida meleagris (helmeted guineafowl) is the source of this 1325-nucleotide long non-coding RNA. RefSeq lists it as uncharacterized. NCBI's taxonomy places the organism in Eukaryota, Metazoa, Chordata, Aves, Galliformes, Numididae. The transcript has 2 exons. The record is from RefSeq and is a predicted model, not a curated record.
AAAAAAAACAACCACAAAACAUGUUCUUAGGGUCAUCCUAAUAAUCUGAAGCCAUUGAGUUUCAGCUUUAAGUGCAUUGGGUGAUUUCUUCUAUGUUUUUUGGGACAGGCUUUUAUGAACAAGCAGUAUACUGAAAAACAGCUGCCAAGUGUUAGGAGACUCUUGGGAAUCUGAGGUGCCUCUAUCCAAAUUCAUCAGAGGUAAUUGGCGAGGGCUCUUACGAUCCUUCAGUCUGUAAGACCUCUUGGAAAUGUAAUGAAGGCAUACUGAUGGCAGGCCCCCAGCACAAGAAGGACAUGGACCUGUGUGGGCCUCAGAGAUGACCACAGAGGCUGGAGCACCUCUGCUAUGAAAAAAGGUUGAGGGAGAUGAGCUUGUUCAGCUCGGAGAAGAGAAAGCUUCAGGGAAACCUCACUGUGGCCUUUUGAGGCUUAAUGAAAAAGAUGGGGACUAACUUUUUACGUAUUCUGAAAGUGAUACGGCAAGGGAGAACAGCUUUAAACUAAAAUCUGUGUUAAUUAAACAUAACAGUGCUUUCUUUUUCAAUUAGUCUGACUUGUAAUGCCAGUGGCCCUAAGCCACAUCCUGCACUGUGAUAAAAUAAAGCCAUGCUUACAGCUCCUUCCUCCAAAAGCGGAGCUCUGCAGCGGUGAGUAGUUGCUGAGGAGGUUCUAAAACCACAGUUAUUUUGGAAAUACAGAAAUAAAAUAUGUAUCUUGGGGGACCUCUGGUUGAGCUUUGUUGCAGGUUUUGAUGUUAAGCUGCACACAGCAGCUGGGAGGUUUUGUGCAGCAGAGAAAUGUUAUUUUCAUCACCGAAACCUGGCUGGUUUGAGCUGGGGUGUGGGGAGAGUACAAAGUACUUGCUCUUCACUACACAAAUUUAGUGAACUCUCUCAAAAUACCUCUUGAAAAGGGGAGGGUAGAAUGGUGAAAGGCAGCAAGGCCACGUAGAUAUGAGGAAGCCUGGGUGAUGGGUGCCUGAGGCAUCCUUCUGCAGCUGAAAACGGAAGAGUAGCAGCAUCAAAAUGGUGUGCCAACAUCAGGGAAGGUAGGUGGAGCAUACUAAAUAGAACUUUCCACUUCCUCAAAAGUUAUGGGUAAGAGAGCUCGGUACUGAAGUAGAAAAAGGUCUUCACCAGCCACCCAGAUGUGAGGAUAGCUGGCAUGAAUCCAGAGGAGAUAAAGGCACCUACAACAACAAAAAACCAACUAUCUGUGAGCCCAGACUCUUGCAAGGAAAGGGGAUAAAAAUACGUCUUCACUGGAUACUCUGCAAUGGUUAAAUAACUGUGGAAAAAAAUAAAUACACAUAAGUUGUAAAGA